CUACGGGUGGCAGCAGUGGGGAAUAUUGGACAAUGGGCGAAAGCCUGAUCCAGCCAUGCCGCGUGUGUGAAGAAGGCCUUCGGGUUGUAAAGCACUUUCAGUGGGGAAGAAAGCCUUGGGGCUAAUACCCUCGAGGAAGGACAUCACCCACAGAAGAAGCACCGGCUAACUCCGUGCCAGCAGCCGCGGUAAUACGGAGGGUGCGAGCGUUAAUCGGAAUUACUGGGCGUAAAGCGCGCGUAGGCGGUCUGAUAAGCCGGUUGUGAAAGCCCCGGGCUCAACCUGGGAACGGCAUCCGGAACUGUCAGGCUAGAGUGCAGGAGAGGAAGGUAGAAUUCCCGGUGUAGCGGUGAAAUGCGUAGAGAUCGGGAGGAAUACCAGUGGCGAAGGCGGCCUUCUGGACUGACACUGACGCUGAGGUGCGAAAGCGUGGGUAGCAAACAGGAUUAGAUCCCUUGUAGUC
This 463-nucleotide ribosomal RNA is filed under the name Vreelandella stevensii. RNAcentral's name for it is "partial 16S ribosomal RNA". It matches the Rfam family "Bacterial small subunit ribosomal RNA", at positions 339 to 795 of the family's 1533-position model. The record is from RNAcentral. Lineage: Bacteria; Pseudomonadati; Pseudomonadota; Gammaproteobacteria; Oceanospirillales; Halomonadaceae.